This 3263-nucleotide long non-coding RNA is filed under the name Equus caballus (horse). RNAcentral describes it as "lncRNA (ENSECAG00000044330.1)". The record is from RNAcentral. Lineage: Eukaryota; Metazoa; Chordata; Mammalia; Perissodactyla; Equidae.
GUUAGAUGGGAAUGCGGCAAAACCAGUUAGGAAGCCACUGCGGUGACCCUGCGCUGAGAUGUCAAGUCCAAGUCCAAGAUGGUUGCAGGGGCAUGGAGAGGAAGAACUACAUCUAAAAGGUAUUUCAAAAGAAAUAAACACAGAUUUAACGAGUUCCUACUAUCUGCUAGGCUGUGCUAACACCACCGAGGCGGGCGUGGAAUCACCCCCAUUUCGCCCACUUGCAGAGUGAGAUUUGGCCAGAUUGACUCUCUGGGGGUCACACGCGGCGAGCGGCAGCGUUGAGCUUCCAACGUGGGGCGUCGGGCUCUCCAGACCCGGGGCUGCCCCAGGCCUCCACUGUCGCCUCUGAGACCAGCCCCCGCUGUGCCCUGCGGGGUGAGGAAGAGCUUCCAGUGCCAAGACCUCAACUCCUCAAUUUGCAGAGAAGGGCCUUGCAGGGCCUAAGCGCGGAGAUCAGGGACCCUUAUCAAGCCGUCAGUCCCUUUCAGGAUCUUGGAGACCCGCACGUCGGGCGGAAGCAGGCGCGUCGCGGCGGCUGCAGCUCCCGGCCCCGGGCGCGAGCGGCUGAGUCACGGCGGGGCCGGGCCGCGGGCGGCUCCAGCGUGGUGAGCCCGGAGGCUGCGCCGGGCCCUGCAGCGCAGCCGGGAGCCGCGCCGACCGAGACCGGAUGAGCCGAGUCAGCGCGGCCCCGCCGCCCCGCGGAGACGAGAUCGGCCGCGGGUUCUCGCUGAUCCCGCCGGGGAGCUGGAAUCGGAGACUGAAAUUUGAAAGCUUGAGUGGCCCCAAGCAACAGAUGCUAUAUGCAGGUUUCAGUGGAGGCUGCUCACCUUGUGCGGAGACACGUAGGUCUCAAGACUGGCUAGACUUUGAAGAUCGAAGGGGCUUGCCCAGGACCAAAAUUGAGUUGUCUGACUCAGUCCUAAAGUGCAGGAAAUAAUAAUUAAAACACUCACACACAUUUUUUUUUAAAGAUUUUAUUUUUUUCCUUUUUCUCCCCGAAACCCCCCAGUACAUAGUUGUAUAUUCUUCAUUGUGGAUCCUUCUAGUUGUGACAUAUGGGACGCUGCCUCAGCGUGGUUUGAUGAGCCGUGCCAUGUCGGCACCCCGGAUUCAAACCAACGAAACACUGGGCCACCUGCAGCAGAGCGCGUGAACUUAACCGCUCGGCCACGGGGCCAGCCCCUCACACACUUAUUUUUUAACGCAAGAGCAAAAAUUUCAGAAUUCCAAGAGAAAAUAAACCUUGAUUUGUGAGAUAAAGUUCUAACAAGAUGGGAGCAUUGCAGAGGGAAUUUUUUAGAGGUCCUUGAUAAACUUGGUCCAGUUUCACCCUACUCCUAUACUACUGCAGCCAGAACCCAUUUUUGUAUAAUAGUGCUGUAUUGUUUGUGUUCAAGUUGCUUUUUCAGUCAAAAACCAAUACUAUAGAAAUUUAUGGGGAAAAAUCAUACCUAAUCACAGUUGCUUUUGCUUCUCUCCUUACAUUAAUGUUCACAAGAAGAGGUUUUCACAUAGCUGCAUCAGAGCUAUCAUUUUUCUAUUUUACUGUUUUCAGGGAAUGUUAUAUAAACAUUUGCCCAUGUCUCAGAUCUUCAGGAUCAUUAUUUUAAAUAACUCCAUUAUGCUCGCCACUAAACACUAAAUUAUCCUCCUGUUGGUGUGCUUGAAGGUUGUUUUUUGACGGGAGUUGCUCUUUACCAGUUUCUUUCUUUUAAGAUUUUAUUUUUCCUUCUUCUCCCCAAAGCUCCCUAAUACAUAGUUGUAUACUCUUAAUUGUAGGUCCUUCUAGCUGUGGCGUGUGGGAUGCCAGCCCAGCAUGGCCCAACGAUGGUGCCAUGUCCACGCCCAGGACCCGAACCUGCGAAACCCUGGGCCACCACAGCGGAGUGCAGGAACCCAACCACAAGGCCACAGGGCUGGCCAGGACCUGUUUCUGAUUGUCAGUGUUUUUGUCCUCCAUCAGGAAGCAUUGACACUGGGCAAAAUGGUGGAACCUUAUGAGGAAAAGUGGCUGCCAAUCAUUGCAUUACAGGAAAGUUUAUUUUCUUUUUAAGAGCUGACAUCAUUUUCCCAAGUAUUCUUUUGAUAUUUUAUCCCACUUGCAUAAUCAUCGCCUUUCUUUAAUUCUAUAAGGUAUACAUUUAAAAAGACCAGACCUUUCCAGGAGUCUGACAGAAAUGGGAUUCAGAAUUGUGUCUGAGACAUUUUCAGAUUUUCAUCAAGAGUUUGUGUUCAAGUGCCACUGUUUACUGUCUUCUGUGUGACUUGGAACAAGUUAUUUAACCUAUCUUGGUCUCAGUUUUCUCAUCUGAAAAAUGAGGAUAAGAAUAGCACAUGCUUAUAAAUUGUUGUGAGAAUUGAAUGAGAUUGUAGGGGAGGAAGACAAUUCCUCUACCCAUUCUAGGUCCUCCUGGCUGGUCUAUGAAUUAAAUUGACACGAGACAGAAUAACAGGAGAAAAUCAAACAAAGCUUUAUAACAUGUAUACAUGGGAGAAACGCCAGAAUGACUGAGUUUCCAUCUUAAAUACAAUCUUCAGCUAAAGACAAAGGACGGUGUUGGGGGUAGUGGUUUGGGGCUUCAAAGGGGAGGAAGGCAAUUCACAUGGAGAUGGAAAAGCAAAUGUUUGGUAGAUGAGAAUGGGCUUAAUAAAGACCCUCACAGUCUACCAAUAUCCAGAGUUACCUAUGGUGAUAACCUGUCCUGGGGACAGGCCUUUUGUCUUAAAUUCUUUAGGCAGUUAGGGGGAAGAUCAAAGUUUCUUUUGUUCUUAGAAAAUAAUCAAGGCAAAGACACAUUUUGGGGUGGCCAAUUCUGAUGUCCUACAAGAGCAUAUUUGUAAAAUGAGUGCUUAGAAUGAUGCCUAUGGAUAAUUCUCUAUAAAUAUUUACCUAUAAAUAAAUAUUAUUGUCUUUUUGUUAUUAAAGAGAACAGUGGCUCUGUACUGAAUAAUGAUAGGCACACCUGCCAUUGUCACCAAGGCUGAAGUGGUAGAUGUGUUUCCUUGCAAACUCUCCCCAUCAUUUGAAAAUCAACUCAAUGUGACCCUGAUUAAGCAGACAAAACAUUCACCACGAUGAGUCCACGUUAUCCAUAUCUCAGGCCACUUAUCUCUCCACAUGGAGUGAAGGAACAAAUGUACUGUUCUCAGCUCUACCUACUGGGAGAAUUUCCCUUCACCGUGGUGCAGCAUAGUUCAUUUGUUAUUAGUACCAACAUAUUAGCUGAUCCUUCUGUGAACCAGGCCGAAGUUUCCUGCCC